GAAUUUAUAAUAUCCAAAUCUGGUGGGUUAGUUAUAUUUACACAUGUUCAUUAUUACCUUUUUUUUGAUGCCUGAAGCUAUAUAGUCCUGUACUGGUAUACAAUAACUGCAUUAGAUGAUAUCUGGAAGAGCCAUCUUAUUCUCUAUCAUUAAUUAGAGUUGAUGACCGCUUGGUUGCCUAUAGGUUAAAGAAAGAGUUGGACAAUG
This 207-nucleotide unclassified non-coding RNA is filed under the name Hevea brasiliensis (rubber tree). The record is from RNAcentral. Lineage: Eukaryota; Viridiplantae; Streptophyta; Magnoliopsida; Malpighiales; Euphorbiaceae.